AACGCGAAGAACCUUACCAGGUCUUGACAUCUUCUGAUAGCCUAAGAGAUUAGGUGUUCCCUUCGGGGACAGAAUGACAGGUGGUGCAUGGUUGUCGUCAGCUCGUGUCGUGAGAUGUUGGGUUAAGUCCCGCAACGAGCGCAACCCUUAUUGUCAGUUACCAGCAUUAAGUUGGGCACUCUGGCAAGACUGCCGGUGACAAACCGGAGGAAGGUGGGGAUGACGUCAAAUCCUCAUGCCCCUUAUGACCUGGGCUACACACGUGCUACAAUGGACGAUACAACGAGUCGCUAGACCGCGAGGUUAAGCUAAUCUCUGAAAGUCGUUCUCAGUUCGGAUUGCAGGCUGCAACUCGCCUGCAUGAAGUCGGAAUCGCUAGUAAUCGCGGAUCAGC
This 394-nucleotide ribosomal RNA is filed under the name uncultured bacterium. RNAcentral describes it as "bacterial SSU rRNA". It matches the Rfam family "Bacterial small subunit ribosomal RNA", at positions 958 to 1353 of the family's 1533-position model. The record is from RNAcentral.